CCACCCUGGGAAACUUCCUUGUACUUCCACUCAGCAGGGGCCAUUCUCUGUCUCCAGAGGCCAGGGUUCCACAAACCUUCUGUUUUCACAUUCUCUCUACCACCUCCUUUAUUCUAGCCUGGGUGUUUAAAAGCAAUCAUUGUCAGAAUAUGCCAUUUAAUCUGUUUUCAUUUUUUAUUGUAAAAAGAGGAUGCAAGGGCUAGCAGUAAGAUUGUAGAUGAAUAAUGAAAGAAUUCCUCACAGCUGUUCAGGGAUAUAUAUUUUUCCUGCAAUGGAGCGAGACGGAUUCCCAUCGCAGCUCGGAGACUUGUUCCAUGAAGCCCCUCAUCUGUCAUGUUCUGAGGGGAAGGGAAGCUGACCCCGAUUUCAGUGCCUACCCCACCACGGCUCAGUACAUCAGGGAAGGGGCUGCUGGACGGUUGGCUGUCACUCCACCUCUCCCUUCUGGUUUUCUGUUUGCUUGAGGAGAGAAACUAUGCACCCCCACCUCACCCUUUAGAUGUAUUUUCGUAUUGCCAGCCUCAUUCCUAAAAGGAUUUGAAAUGUCUGACAAAAAUAUGAAUGGUACAGCAAGGUAGAUACUAAGGAGGAACACCAGGCCGAGGAAAUAAAAGCAGGAAAAAUAAGAUAGCCUCGUGAGGC
RNAcentral lists this long non-coding RNA (642 nucleotides) under Vulpes vulpes (red fox). Its description in RNAcentral is "lncRNA (ENSVVUG00000003081.1)". Lineage: Eukaryota; Metazoa; Chordata; Mammalia; Carnivora; Canidae. The record is from RNAcentral.